Molecule: unclassified non-coding RNA, 276 nt
Filed under: Pezizaceae sp.
Lineage: Eukaryota; Fungi; Ascomycota; Pezizomycetes; Pezizales; Pezizaceae
Description: partial contains 5.8S ribosomal RNA, internal transcribed spacer 2, and large subunit ribosomal RNA
Source: RNAcentral
CGCAUCUUGCGCCCAAUGGUAUUCCGUUGGGCAUGCCUGUCUGAGUGUCCCUAUACUUCUCAGCCUUUAAUUUUCUUAAUUGAGAGUAAAAGGUCUGGAUCCUGAGUGUUUGCUGGCUUCGGUCAGCUCACUUGAAAUCAAGCUGGUUAACCAGAGCGUAAACGGUUUGACCGGGUGUUGUAAAGUCGCCUCACUCGGGACGUUGCCAAUGGUUAUGUGAAAUAGAUUUAAAGCGAUUUAGACCUCAGAUCAGGUAGGAUUACCCGCUGAACUUAA